This 252-nucleotide ribosomal RNA is filed under the name uncultured bacterium. RNAcentral's name for it is "partial 16S ribosomal RNA". It matches the Rfam family "Bacterial small subunit ribosomal RNA", at positions 524 to 775 of the family's 1533-position model. The record is from RNAcentral.
UACGUAGGUCUCAAGCGUUGUUCGGAUUCAUUGGGCGUAAAGGGUGCGUAGGUGGCGCGGUAAGUCGGGUGUGAAAUCUCGGGGCUUAACUCCGAUACUGCAUUCGAUACUGCCGUGCUUGAGGACUGGAGAGGAGACUGGAAUUUACGGUGUAGCAGUGAAAUGCGUAGAUAUCGUAAGGAAGACCAGUGGCGAAGGCGGGUCUCUGGACAGUUCCUGACACUGAUGCACGAAGGCCAGGGGAGCAAACGG